AGGUCCUGCAUUAAAAAAUAAUAUUCAUCAAGAAGGUUAAUUUGAAAAGUGAAUAUAAUAGAUAGAAGACAUUGAUGGGCAAAAACUAAGCAAGACUGCCAGAAAAACCAUAUAGGACAACGAGUAAAUGGUUCAUUCAGCCACCAAAAAUAGGGCCAAAUUUCACAUGAAAUUAGGCUAGGUGAGGUUUGGGCUUGAGUAUUAAAUGCAAUUUAAAAUGGGUAAUGUUGUGGCCAUUGAAUGAUGCGCUUGACCCAAUAAAGACCUGAUAUCUCCUAGCUAUGAAAUGUAAAUUUAUGAUUAUUUUACCCACCUUAAAUCUUUAUAAAAAAGAUGGUUUCUAUUAGUUAAAAUUCUUGUGAUAUUAGUUAGAAUUAUUCUUGUUUUCAAUACUUAAAAUUAUGAUUUAUAAUUCACUACUAAUACCAUUUGUUAGUAAAACAUUUCUUUUAAAGAACAAGAAGAACGAAAACCAUGAGUCUGGACCAGGGGAUGUUGAGCCUACAAGCCUAAUAUACUUAUAGGGUCAUUCUUGUGCCUUGAUAUUUUUAGCCCAAAUGGGCAGUUGCCCAGACUAAAAGCUGUGACUUUUUAUAUGGGCCCAUCAUUAGCCUAAAAGGCCCAGAUGACAGGGCUAAACCCAUGUGCUGUUGGUUGUUAUACAAGUAGUGCAGUGUAACAUUGCAGAACUCUUCAUGACUCUUGAUUUCAUGGCUUAUAUUAUGGCAAACUACAGCUUUCUAUUUAAAUGAUGAUUUUCUCUAGUUCUAUACUAGCCAACCAUACCUCGAUUCUUCUUCUUAAUAUGAUGUUCAUCUUUUAUUCCAGCAUUGUACAAUACCUGCGAGUUGUCAGGAAUAGAGGACUCAUUAGAUGUCCUUGUUUUUCUUACGAAUUUAAGGUUUCAAUGAGCUUCAGAAACCAGAUUGUAUAUGGUGAGAUAAGAAAAUGAUGUUAGACAUCAUUCUGGACUUUGUAAAGAGGCUUGUAGGUGCAAUUCAAGUUACCUCAACUAAGCUCUCUAAUCGUGUUCUCAUCCUUCUUUGAAUGAAGCCUCGAGUGCUCUGUUCGAACUUUGUUUUAGCCUCAGCAGAAUAAAAGAAGUACAAGGUGUGUAGCUAAUACCAAAAGAGACAAAUCCUCCAUUGGUGCUCAGAUCUUCAAUGGGCUCUCCUCUCAACUCAGCUGGUGGGAUUGGAGACCAGAUGCAAUGAGGUGCUUUGACAAAUGCUUUUGAGCUUCCAAUAUCCAUGAGUUCCUG
Molecule: long non-coding RNA, 1261 nt
Organism: Coffea arabica (coffee)
Lineage: Eukaryota; Viridiplantae; Streptophyta; Magnoliopsida; Gentianales; Rubiaceae
Source: RefSeq, a predicted model, not a curated record